Molecule: ribosomal RNA, 257 nt
Filed under: uncultured bacterium
Lineage: Bacteria
Description: partial 16S ribosomal RNA
Rfam family: Bacterial small subunit ribosomal RNA
Source: RNAcentral
UACGUAGGGUGCGAGCGUUAAUCGGAAUUACUGGGCGUAAAGAGUGCGUAGGCGGUUCGUUAUGUCUGCUGUGAAAGCCCCGGGCUUAACCCGGGAAUGGCAGUGGAAACUGGCGGGCUUGAGUGUGGCAGAGGGGGGUGGGAAUUCCGCGUGUAGCAGUGAAAUGCGUAGAGAUCGGGAGGAACACCUGUGGCGAAGGCGGCCCCCUGGGCCGGCCCUGACACUGAGACGCGAAGGCGAGUGGGGAGCGAACGGGG